This 20-nucleotide ribosomal RNA is filed under the name Ficus septica. RNAcentral's name for it is "partial 18S ribosomal RNA". RNAcentral also lists the same sequence under 1 other name. The record is from RNAcentral. Lineage: Eukaryota; Viridiplantae; Streptophyta; Magnoliopsida; Rosales; Moraceae.
CAGCAGAAAGACCCGCGAAC